UACGAAGGGGGCUAGCGUUGCUCGGAAUCACUGGGCGUAAAGCGCACGUAGGCGGAUUGUUAAGUCGGGGGUGAAAUCCUGGAGCUCAACUCCAGAACUGCCUUCGAUACUGGCGAUCUUGAGUCCGGGAGAGGUGAGUGGAACUCCGAGUGUAGAGGUGAAAUUCGUAGAUAUUCGGAAGAACACCAGUGGCGAAGGCGGCUCACUGGCCCGGUACUGACGCUGAGGUGCGAAAGCGUGGGGAGCAAACAGGG
RNAcentral lists this ribosomal RNA (254 nucleotides) under uncultured bacterium. RNAcentral's name for it is "partial 16S ribosomal RNA". It matches the Rfam family "Bacterial small subunit ribosomal RNA", at positions 524 to 777 of the family's 1533-position model. The record is from RNAcentral.